UGCCCUCGUGGCGGAAUGGUAUACGCAGCAGCUUGAGGGGCUGUGCCGAGAGGCGUGGUGGUUCGAGUCCACUCGAGGGCAUCCA
This 85-nucleotide transfer RNA is filed under the name Dictyobacter alpinus. RNAcentral describes it as "tRNA-Leu". It matches the Rfam family "tRNA". Rfam says of the family: Transfer RNA (tRNA) molecules are approximately 80 nucleotides in length. Lineage: Bacteria; Bacillati; Chloroflexota; Ktedonobacteria; Ktedonobacterales; Dictyobacteraceae. The record is from RNAcentral. RNAcentral also lists the same sequence under 1 other name.